CACGCCCUAAACGAUGCGAACUGGAUGUUGGGAGCAACUAGGCUCUCAGUAUCGAAGCUAACGCGUUAAGUUCGCCGCCUGGGGAGUACGGUCGCAAGACUGAAACUCAAAGGAAUUGACGGGGGCCCGCACAAGCGGUGGAGUAUGUGGUUUAAUUCGAUGCAACGCGAAGAACCUUACCUGGUCUUGACAUCCACGGAACUUUCCAGAGAUGGAUUGGUGCCUUCGGGAACCGUGAGACAGGUGC
This 247-nucleotide ribosomal RNA is filed under the name uncultured Lysobacteraceae bacterium. RNAcentral's name for it is "uncultured Xanthomonadaceae bacterium partial 16S ribosomal RNA". It matches the Rfam family "Bacterial small subunit ribosomal RNA", at positions 796 to 1041 of the family's 1533-position model. The record is from RNAcentral. Lineage: Bacteria; Pseudomonadati; Pseudomonadota; Gammaproteobacteria; Lysobacterales; Lysobacteraceae.